RNAcentral lists this ribosomal RNA (222 nucleotides) under Triticum aestivum (bread wheat). Its description in RNAcentral is "partial small subunit ribosomal RNA". Lineage: Eukaryota; Viridiplantae; Streptophyta; Magnoliopsida; Poales; Poaceae. The record is from RNAcentral.
AUGCGGGAGGACCCAGGGCCAGAGCAAGUUGGGUUGGGGUAUAGAGCCAUAAGCGCGGUGGGGGUGACAGAGGAUGUGCUCGUACGGUUCAUAGUUGGGUAUGAUAUUCUCGUGGAUUGUUGGGAACGUCCUCUAUAUAGAGAUUGUCUUUUUUUUAUUUUGAAUAGGCCAUGGGUCAUUUUAGGCCAUCCUUGGUGCUGUCCGAAAGCGAUUCAGAUUUGA